GAAUGGCGGAAAGGGAGGGAGGAGAGGAAGAAGAGAACGUGAGGGGGAAGAGGAAAGGGGGGGCAAGCGGUGGAAAACGGUGGGAAAGGAAUUGGAAGAUGAAAAAUCCAAGGAAAAAUUGUCUGGAAAAGCCAAAAUUUUGGGAAUUUUUGGUGUUGUUGGAAAUUUCAAUGAAGGUUUUCGGGGCGGGUUGAAAAUGGUGGAAAAAAACAGAAAAAAUAAUAAAAAACCAGCAAAAAACCACAAAAA
Molecule: non-coding RNA, 249 nt
Organism: Lonchura striata (white-rumped munia)
Lineage: Eukaryota; Metazoa; Chordata; Aves; Passeriformes; Estrildidae
Source: RefSeq, a predicted model, not a curated record